This 1485-nucleotide ribosomal RNA is filed under the name metagenome. RNAcentral describes it as "bacterial SSU rRNA". It matches the Rfam family "Bacterial small subunit ribosomal RNA". The record is from RNAcentral.
AGAGUUUGAUCCUGGCUCAGGAUGAACGCUAGCUACAGGCUUAACACAUGCAAGUCGAGGGGCAGCAUGGUCUCAGCUUGCUAAGGCCGAUGGCGACCGGCGCACGGGUGAGUAACACGUAUCCAACCUGCCGUCUACUCUUGGACAGCCUUCUGAAAGGAAGAUUAAUACAAGAUGGCAUCAUGAGUCCGCAUGUUCACAUGAUUAAAGGUAUUCCGGUAGACGAUGGGGAUGCGUUCCAUUAGAUAGUAGGCGGGGUAACGGCCCACCUAGUCUUCGAUGGAUAGGGGUUCUGAGAGGAAGGUCCCCCACAUUGGAACUGAGACACGGUCCAAACUCCUACGGGAGGCAGCAGUGAGGAAUAUUGGUCAAUGGGCGAGAGCCUGAACCAGCCAAGUAGCGUGAAGGAUGACUGCCCUAUGGGUUGUAAACUUCUUUUAUAAAGGAAUAAAGUCGGGUAUGCAUACCCGUUUGCAUGUACUUUAUGAAUAAGGAUCGGCUAACUCCGUGCCAGCAGCCGCGGUAAUACGGAGGAUCCGAGCGUUAUCCGGAUUUAUUGGGUUUAAAGGGAGCGUAGAUGGAUGUUUAAGUCAGUUGUGAAAGUUUGCGGCUCAACCGUAAAAUUGCAGUUGAUACUGGAUAUCUUGAGUGCAGUUGAGGCAGGCGGAAUUCGUGGUGUAGCAGUGAAAUGCUUAGAUAUCACGAAGAACUCCGAUUGCGAAGGCAGCCUGCUUAGCUGCAACUGACAUUGAGGCUCGAAAGUGUGGGUAUCAAACAGGAUUAGAUACCCUGGUAGUCCACACGGUAAACGAUGAAUACUCGCUGUUUGCGAUAUACAGCAAGCGGCCAAGCGAAAGCGUUAAGUAUUCCACCUGGGGAGUACGCCGGCAACGGUGAAACUCAAAGGAAUUGACGGGGGCCCGCACAAGCGGAGGAACAUGUGGUUUAAUUCGAUGAUACGCGAGGAACCUUACCCGGGCUUAAAUUGCAGAUGAAUUACGGUGAAGGCCGUAAGCCGCAAGGCAUCUGUGAAGGUGCUGCAUGGUUGUCGUCAGCUCGUGCCGUGAGGUGCCGGCUUAAGUGCCAUAACGAGCGCAACCCUUGUUGUCAGUUACUAACAGGUUCCGCUGAGGACUCUGACAAGACUGCCAUCGUAAGAUGUGAGGAAGGUGGGGAUGACGUCAAAUCAGCACGGCCCUUACGUCCGGGGCUACACACGUGUUACAAUGGGGGGUACAGAGGGCCGCUACCACGCGAGUGGAUGCCAAUCCCAAAAACCUCUCUCAGUUCGGACUGGAGUCUGCAACCCGACUCCACGAAGCUGGAUUCGCUAGUAAUCGCGCAUCAGCCACGGCGCGGUGAAUACGUUCCCGGGCCUUGUACACACCGCCCGUCAAGCCAUGGGAGCCGGGGUACCUGAAGUGCGUAACCGCGAGGAGCGCCCUAGGGUAAAACUGGUGACUGGGGCUAAGUCGUAACAAGGUA